CCUACGGGAGGCAGCAGUAGGGAAUAUUGCUCCAUGUGGGAAACCCUGAAGCAGCAACGCCGCGUGGAGGAUGAAGGGUUUCGGAUUGUAAACUCCUUUUUUUAGAGAAGAUAAUGACGGUAUCUAACGAAUAAGCACAGGCUAACUCCGUGCCAGCAGCCUCGGUGAUACGGAGGGUGCAAGCGUUACUCGGAAUCACUGGGCGGAAAGAGCGCGUAAGCGUGAUAGCAAGUCAGCUGUUAAAUCCUAUGGCUUAACCAUAGAACUGCAUUUGAAACUGUUAUUCUAGAGUAUGGGAGAGGUAGGUGGAAUGCUGGGUGGAGGGGUAAAAUGCGUAGAGAUCAAGAGGAAUACUCAGUGCGAAGGCGACCUGCUAGAACAUAACUGACGCUGAUGCGCGAAAGCGUGGGGAGCAAACAGGAUUAGAUACCCUAGUAGUC
Molecule: ribosomal RNA, 440 nt
Filed under: uncultured bacterium
Lineage: Bacteria
Description: partial 16S ribosomal RNA
Rfam family: Bacterial small subunit ribosomal RNA
Source: RNAcentral